UACAGAGACUGCAAGCGUUAUUCGGAUUCACUGGGCGUAAAGGGUGCGCAGGCGGCCGAGUGUGUGAGGCGUGAAAGCCCGGGGCUUAACCCCGGAAUUGCACCUCAAACUACACGGCUAGAGCAUUGGAGAGGGUAGCAGAAUUCAUGGUGUAGCAGUGAAAUGCGUAGAUAUCAUGAGGAACACCGGUGGCGAAGGCGGCAUCCUGGACCAACACUGACACUGAGGAGCGAAAGCCAGGGGAGCAAACGGG
RNAcentral lists this ribosomal RNA (253 nucleotides) under uncultured bacterium. RNAcentral's name for it is "partial 16S ribosomal RNA". It matches the Rfam family "Bacterial small subunit ribosomal RNA", at positions 524 to 776 of the family's 1533-position model. The record is from RNAcentral.